CCAAGAUCACUUUGUUAUUUUGCAUCCAACCACCAACACGUCUCCUGGAAGAAUCCCCAACUCAAUUUUCUCACUCCAGCCACAGCCACGAAGACUAACAAGUUGACCAACAUUACCACCUUCACCCUUAUUUUGUAUUCUGUAUUAGUUGCACAUGUUUCCUCCAGGAACAAGGGUAAGGGACCUGCAACAGCUGCUCAAAGAAACCAGCAACAUCACCGACUACAUUUUCUGAAGCCAGUAAUAAGGCCUACCUCCUUCAAACUGGAAAGCCACCUCCUCAAACCCAUAUCUCCCCCACCCAAUAUUACUACUUGAAUGAUCAAUGUGUUGACCACACUUGCUUGGUCUUUCGCAGUCCCUUCCGAUCACUCCAAAUGACCUCCCGAACCGGACCCCCUACCUAAACCUGGUGGUCCCUGAUGGAAGAGAUGUUCGCUUCCGGUGCUUUUGGAAAGAACAACAAAAUGGCAGCAUCGCAUUGACCCGUGGUUUGCCACAGUUCUACCGGAGUGGCCGCGAAAAUAACUACCAGCCCCGACCGUCUGAGGAACUGCCGUAUGAAAAGCAAAGCACUUACCAGCGUGCCCACUGUAUGAACAAUCCUUCUUCCAACAAGGCCAAAGCCAUAGUUGAAAAAUUCUCCACCAAAUGUCCCUUCUCUGUGAUGGACCUCACUAGCCCGUCUUGUCCUCCCACUUAUUGGUCUGAUGCUGCGACGAAGCGGGAAGCUCAUG
Arachis ipaensis is the source of this 737-nucleotide non-coding RNA. Lineage: Eukaryota; Viridiplantae; Streptophyta; Magnoliopsida; Fabales; Fabaceae. The record is from RefSeq and is a predicted model, not a curated record.